GACGAACGUUGGCGGCGUGCUUAAUACAUGCAAGUCAACUGAAGCAGUGGUAGCAAUAUCGCUGUGGAGGUGGCGCACGGGUGAGUAACACGUAGGUAAUCCGCCUUCAGGUCUGGCAUAACUCCGGGAAACCGGGGCUAAUAGCAGAUGAUGCAGCGGCUCGACAUCGAGACAGUUGUUAAAGCUAUGGCGCCUGAAGAUGAGCCUGCGCCUGAUUAGCUAGUUGGCGGGGUAACGGCCCACCAAGGCAACGAUCAGUAGCUGGUCUGAGAGGAUGAUCAGCCACACUGGAACUGAGACACGGUCCAGACUCCUACGGGAGGCAGCAGUAAGGAAUAUUGCUCAAUGGGAGAAAUCCUGAAGCAGCAACGCCGCGUGAGGGACGAAGGGCUUUUGCUUGUAAACCUCUGUAGUGAGAGAAAAAAAUCCCAAUCUUUGGGACAUGAUGGUAUCUCAAAAGUAAGCCCCGGCUAACUACGUG
Molecule: ribosomal RNA, 481 nt
Filed under: uncultured bacterium
Lineage: Bacteria
Description: partial 16S ribosomal RNA
Rfam family: Bacterial small subunit ribosomal RNA
Source: RNAcentral